GAAGCUGGAUUCGCUAGUAAUCGCGCAUCAGCCAUGGCGCGGUGAAUACGUUCCCGGGCCUUGUACACACCGCCCGUCAAGCCAUGGGAGCCGGGAGCGCUUGAAGUGCGUCGCCGCGAGGCGCGCCCUAGAGCGAGACCGGUGACUGGGGCUAAGUCGUAACAAGGUAUC
RNAcentral lists this ribosomal RNA (171 nucleotides) under uncultured bacterium. RNAcentral's name for it is "partial 16S ribosomal RNA". It matches the Rfam family "Bacterial small subunit ribosomal RNA", at positions 1322 to 1500 of the family's 1533-position model. The record is from RNAcentral.